GUCACACUUAAGGUUCCUGAAACGCUGAAAAAAAUAACUCACAGCACUAUGAUAAGUCUCCCCUCCCUGACCCCAGACUAUACAUUAUCUAGCAGCUGUACAAUUAGGUUAUCACACACCUUCGCCGGCAGUCUCGUCACACUUAAGGUUCUUGAAAUGCUGAAAAAAAUAACUCACAGCACUAUAAGAUAAGUCUCCCUUCCCUGACCCCAGACUAUAUAUUUUCUAGCAGCUGUACAAUUAGGUCAUCACACACCUUCGCCGGCAGUCUCGUCACCCUUAAGGUUAUUGAAACGGACCCAUAGCAUUAUAAGGUAAAUCUCCUCUCCCUGACCCCAGACUAUACAUUAUCUAGCAGCUGUACAAUUAGGUCAUCACACACCUAGGCCGGCAG
Eriocheir sinensis (Chinese mitten crab) is the source of this 394-nucleotide long non-coding RNA. RefSeq lists it as uncharacterized. NCBI's taxonomy places the organism in Eukaryota, Metazoa, Arthropoda, Malacostraca, Decapoda, Varunidae. The record is from RefSeq and is a predicted model, not a curated record. The transcript is spliced from 3 exons.